AUUGAACGCUGGCGGCAUGCUUUACACAUGCAAGUCGAACGGUAACAGGCCUUCGGGUGCUGACGAGUGGCGAACGGGUGAGUAAUGUAUCGGAACGUACCCAGAGGUGGGGGAUAACGCAGCGAAAGCUGUGCUAAUACUGCAUGUGAUCUGAGGAUGAAAGCGGGGGACCGAGCAGCAAUGUUUGGCCUCGCGCCUUUGGAGCGGCCGAUGUCGGAUUAGCUAGUUGGUGGGGUAAAGGCCUACCAAGGCGACGAUCCGUAGCUGGUCUGAGAGGACGACCAGCCACACUGGGACUGAGACACGGCCCAGACUCCUACGGGAGGCAGCAGUGGGGAAUUUUGGACAAUGGGCGCAAGCCUGAUCCAGCAAUGCCGCGUGCGGGAAGAAGGCCUUCGGGUUGUAAACCGCUUUUGGCAGGAACGAAACGGUGUCCGCUAAUACCGGGCGCUAAUGACGGUACCUGCAGAAUAAGCACCGGCUAACUACGUG
Molecule: ribosomal RNA, 492 nt
Filed under: uncultured bacterium
Lineage: Bacteria
Description: partial 16S ribosomal RNA
Rfam family: Bacterial small subunit ribosomal RNA
Source: RNAcentral